Molecule: ribosomal RNA, 468 nt
Filed under: uncultured bacterium
Lineage: Bacteria
Description: partial 16S ribosomal RNA
Rfam family: Bacterial small subunit ribosomal RNA
Source: RNAcentral
GACGAACGCUGGCGGCGUGCUUAACACAUGCAAGUCGAACGGAAAGGCCCUGCUUUUGGGGGGUGCUCGAGUGGCGAACGGGUGAGUAACACGUGAGUAACCUGCCCUUGACUUUGGGAUAACUUCAUGAAACUGGGGCUAAUACCGGAUAAGAUCUCCUGCUGCAUGGUGGGGGUUGGAAAGUUUCGGCGGUUGGGGAGGGACUCGCGUCUUAUCAGCUUGUUGGUGGGGUAGUGUCUUAGCAAGGCUUGGACGGGUGGCAGGCCUGAGAGGGUGACCGGCCACAUUGGGCCUGAGAUGAGGCCCAGACUCCUACGGGAGGCAGCAGUGGGGAAUAUUGCACAAUGGGCGGAAGCCUGAUGCAGCACCGCAGCGUGCGGGAUGACGGCCUUCGGGUUGUAAACCGCUUUCGCCUGUGACGAAGCGUGAGUGACGGUAAUGGGUAAAGAAGCACCGGCUAACUACGUG